This 884-nucleotide long non-coding RNA is filed under the name Homo sapiens (human). RNAcentral's name for it is "HSALNT0349158". Lineage: Eukaryota; Metazoa; Chordata; Mammalia; Primates; Hominidae. The record is from RNAcentral.
CCAAAGUUCUAGAGUCUGGACGUCUGAGAUCAGGGUGCCAGCACUGUCGAGGUCACAGACUGCAGACCUCCUUGUAUCUUCAAAUGGAGGAAAGAGGACAAGAGAGCUCCUGUGGUCCCUUUUAUCAAGAUGAAUGCACAAGGAAAAUGUUGUACAUUUGCACAUUGGAGUACACUUCAGCCAUAAAAAGAAUGAGAUGCUGUCAUUUGCAACAACAGAGUUGUGCAGUCAUCAGUUAUCUUCAUGGGACGAGUAUGUCCGGAGGGGAGGAAAAUCUGAUAAAAAAUAUUGAAAUUCAAUGAAGGCUUCCACUGCUUAACAAAUGUUACAUAGAAUUCUUCACCGAUGUGAGGAACAUCAGUUUGCAAAAGAAACUCUGCACUUUCAGGGAUAAAAAGACUGAGACUCCAAAUGGUGCUCCUAGUAUUGGUGAAGCUUAGGGAGAGAGCCCAUUGUGUUUCUAUCUAACUGCUCUCAGGAAAAGGUAGAAAAUGUCUCAGAUUCCACAAGAAAGAUAGAAUGUGUGAUAAGAUGACAAUCAGGCCACAACAGAAUAUCCUAGUAGGGUACAUAAAUUAGCAUCAACAUGGACCAAUUAGCAAGGAAGUGUCUUCAUAAUAUUCCCGUAAUUAGACUCUCAUUAGCUUGAUAUUUGAUGCUGGACUAACCCUAUUUGAAUGAUAUAAGCACUGGUACUUAGAAUUUUCAGAGACUGGUGCCCCUAAUGGAAAAAUGCAGGAUGAAAUGCUAGUGAAGAUUAACUGGGAGAAAAAUAGGUAAAUGUGAAAAAGAAAACGUGUGUCUGACUGUAUACAGAGUUCUAAUUGUAAAAAAUUAAUCGAAUGUAUAAAAUAUCGACAGCCCAAAUAAAUGUUAUUUUCCUG